GACGUAGGGCGCGAGCGUGUCCGGAUUUAUUGGGCGUAAAGAGCUCGUAGGCGGCUCAUUGCGUCAACCGUGAAAACCAGCAGCUCAACUGUUGGCUUGCGGUUGAUACGGGUGGGCUGGAGUUCGGUAGGGGAGACUGGAAUUCCUGGUGUAGCGGUGAAAUGCGCAGAUAUCAGGAGGAACACCGGUGGCAAGGCGGG
Molecule: ribosomal RNA, 200 nt
Filed under: uncultured bacterium
Lineage: Bacteria
Description: partial 16S ribosomal RNA
Rfam family: Bacterial small subunit ribosomal RNA
Source: RNAcentral